CAUAUCAUCAUCUCUAUUCAGGUCUUAGUUCUCCAGGGAUCUUUGACAAAAAACAUGGCUGCAUGAUUGAGAUAUCUUUGACAUGUGUCAGUUGCAAAGUUCAGUGAAAGUGAAUGGUGUCCGCUGACCUAUAGCCCCUCAAACUGUGUCACCAAAUGGACCAAUAAAAUGUGUCGCAUUAUACUACGUCGGAUUUCCAUGGAAUCGCAAGCAUUGUGCAUAGUGGACUCAGAUGGACAUUGACAGCUCUGACAUGAAGAAGUCUGUGGAUCAAGCAGGAUUUGCGUUUUGCAC
Pocillopora verrucosa is the source of this 294-nucleotide non-coding RNA. The record is from RefSeq and is a predicted model, not a curated record. NCBI's taxonomy places the organism in Eukaryota, Metazoa, Cnidaria, Anthozoa, Scleractinia, Pocilloporidae.